GGUGCAGCAGCCGCGGUAACACCGGCAGCUCUAGUGGUAGCUGUUUUAUUGGGCCUAAAGCGUUCGUAGCCGGUUUAAUAAGUCUCUGGUGAAAUCCUAUAGCUUAACUGUGGGAAUUGCUGGAGAUACUAUUAGACUUGAGAUCGGGAGAGGUCAGAGGUACUCCUGGGGUAGGGGUGAAAUCCUGGUAAUCCUAGGAGGACCACCUGUGGCGAAGGCGUCUGACUAGAACGAAUCUGACGGUGAGGAACGAAAGCUAGGGGCGCGAACCGGAUUAGAUACCCGGGUAGUCCUAGCCGUAAACUAUGCGGACUUGGUGUGAGGGUGGCUUUGAGCCGUCCUGGUGCCGAAGGGAAGCUGUUAAGUCCGCCGCCUGGGAAGUACGGUCGCAAGACUGAAACUUAAAGGAAUUGGCGGGGAGCACCACAACGCGUGGAGCCUGCGGUUUAAUUGGAUUCAACGCCGGAGAUCUCACCAGCGGCGACAGCAGUAUGAUGACCAGGUUGAUGACUUUGUUUGACAAGCUGAGAAGAGGUGCAUGG
RNAcentral lists this ribosomal RNA (542 nucleotides) under uncultured archaeon. RNAcentral describes it as "bacterial SSU rRNA". It matches the Rfam family "Archaeal small subunit ribosomal RNA", at positions 454 to 997 of the family's 1478-position model. The record is from RNAcentral.